GAUGGACGCUGGCGGCGUGCUUAACACAUGCAAGUCGAACGGUGAAAGAGAGCUUGCUCUCUGGAUCAGUGGCGAACGGGUGAGUAACACGUGAGCAAUCUGCCCCUGACUCUGGGAUAAGCGCUGGAAACGGCGUCUAAUACCGGAUACGAGCUGCGAAGGCAUCUUCAGCAGCUGGAAAGAACUUCGGUCAGGGAUGAGCUCGCGGCCUAUCAGCUAGUUGGUGAGGUAACGGCUCACCAAGGCGUCGACGGGUAGCCGGCCUGAGAGGGUGACCGGCCACACUGGGACUGAGACACGGCCCAGACUCCUACGGGAGGCAACAGUGGGGAAUAUUGCACAAUGGGCGAAAGCCUGAUGCAGCAACGCCGCGUGAGGGACGACGGCCUUCGGGUUGUAAACCUCUUUUAGCAGGGAAGAAGCGAAAGUGACGGUACCUGCAGAAAAAGCGCCGGCUAACUACGU
Molecule: ribosomal RNA, 465 nt
Filed under: uncultured bacterium
Lineage: Bacteria
Description: partial 16S ribosomal RNA
Rfam family: Bacterial small subunit ribosomal RNA
Source: RNAcentral